Molecule: ribosomal RNA, 647 nt
Filed under: Borutzkyella revasi
Lineage: Eukaryota; Metazoa; Arthropoda; Malacostraca; Isopoda; Trichoniscidae
Description: partial large subunit ribosomal RNA
Rfam family: Eukaryotic large subunit ribosomal RNA
Source: RNAcentral
CGUGUGUCAAGAGGGUCCCUUGACCCGUUCCUGAAACACGGACCAAGGAGUCUAGAAUGUGCGCGAGUCAAAGGGCUGGCUAAACCCCAAGGCGUAACGAAAGUGAAUGGGACUUGGUAGCGUGCGGUAGUUAGGGAGCUCGCUCUCGUCGCUGCUGCUUUGCUUCUUCGUCCCUCGGACCGAUCCGGUUUCGUAUUCUCGAGAGAGAUUUAUUUUUUUCGAGAUUCGAUUCGCCUCGCUGAACGUAGGAGGACGGCGCAGGUCCGGGGCUCGCCAGCUUUCUCCCCGCCAUUAACGCUAACGUCGGAGCUUCCCGGUCGUUGAACGAAGGGCCCUCUCCGUCGCGAUUCUUCUUUUUUUUUUCUUCCCGUUCGGUCGGUCGUGCUGUCGUCGUUUUUCUGAAGCGGCGGCUCGCGUGUCGCUGGCCGAUUCGGGGAGAGAAGGAGUAGUAGAGUUCGCGGCGGGUUAUAAGGGGGAACUUCUGAUGACCGAGAAAAUCUUCGGCUCGCGGGCGGGGACGAGCGGCGGGUACCUCGAGCGUACAUUCUAGUACCCGAAAGAUGGUGAUCUAUGCCUGACCAGGAUGAAGCCAGAGGAAACUCUGGUGGAGGUCCGUAGCGAUUCUGACGUGCAAAUCGAUCGUCGGA